CAGCAGCCGCCGCGGUAAUACGAAGGGUGCAAGCGUUACUCGGAAUUACUGGGCGUAAAGCGUGCGUAGGUGGUGGUUUAAGUCCGUUGUGAAAGCCCUGGGCUCAACCUGGGAAUGGCAGUGGAUACUGGCUCGCUAGAGUGUGUCAGAGGAUGGUGGAAUUCCCGGUGUAGCGGUGAAAUGCGUAGAGAUCGGGAGGAACAUCAGUGGCGAAGGCGGCCAUCUGGGACAACACUGACGCUGAGGCACGAAAGCGUGGGGAGCAAACAGGAUUAGAUACCCCAGUAGUCCCUGUCUCUUAUAC
RNAcentral lists this ribosomal RNA (304 nucleotides) under uncultured bacterium. RNAcentral describes it as "partial 16S ribosomal RNA". It matches the Rfam family "Bacterial small subunit ribosomal RNA", at positions 506 to 807 of the family's 1533-position model. The record is from RNAcentral.